Molecule: long non-coding RNA, 4441 nt
Organism: Triticum dicoccoides
Lineage: Eukaryota; Viridiplantae; Streptophyta; Magnoliopsida; Poales; Poaceae
Exons: 9
Source: RefSeq, a predicted model, not a curated record
GCUCUGCAGCGAGCGUGGGGUUCGCACGGUGAAACCCUAGCCACCAAUCGCUCGCGUCUUUGACCCACCAAUCGCUCCCUUCUUGAGCUCCGCUUCCCGUUCCCCAAUUCUCUCCGCCGCCACUGCGCUGCCUCGUCCUCCCCUGACCUCGGAGCCCAGCGUAUGGUCACCGUCGCCGCUUGCGUAGUUCUUCCCGCAGCCUCCUGCAGGACGAUGCCUCCCCAUCCUCCAUCAGCCACCGCUGUGGGCUGUGGUUCUGGACCGGUCACAGGUCGCUGCUCAGGAGCAGAGGAGGACGGCGGGGAGGGAGAAGGAGCACAGGAGGACGGCACUGGGGGAAGGAGCAGCGAGGCCGGAGGCCGAGAUGGCGCUCACGUCAUGUGUCGGACGCUGCUCGUCGGCCCUCGUUGUCGUCCUCAAUCUAGCAUGAUGUGUGAAGGUCUGAGACAAAAAAGAAGAGGAAGAAUUUUGACGAAGAGUUGGGUCAUGGGGAACAAGGUCAUCAGAAUAUACAUAACUGUUGCCGAAGCCCUCUUGCUAAAGGUAUAAUACUCCCCCCCUUAGCAAAGGGUGAAUUCUCUGGUUUUGAUUGGCCGGGAUAAACUCCAUGAGUCUUGAGGAUUUUCGGAAUGUUGGAAUCAGUGGUGUUUUGUUUUUGAUGAUAUUAUCCGAUGGAGGUGACAGGGAGAGAAGAUGCUAGCUCAAUGGUGCUGGCCGUGAAGGAUUUUGGCGCAUCCAAGGAUAUAACCAACAUAAACACAAUGCUUACAAGGAGAUAUCGACUCAUUUGAUUGCUAUAUUGGCUUUGGUCACCCUUGUGGGGCUCCUUAUCUUUGAAGCAAGGUUCGGAUGCUCUUUGGACGCAGGAAGACGAACAUGAUAGAAAAAGAAAGGGAUCAACCUUGCCAUGACCCCAUAUUUCUGUAGGCUAAUAUCCCUUAUUUGCACUAUCCUACACCGAAUACUUAUAGGGUUAUGUGCCUUUGCCAUGCAGCACAUGUCAAUGGCAGUUCAGGAAGAGAUGACAUCACAAGUGAGCUCAAUUGAUAAGCCCACUAGUAGAAAAAUGUGGUUUGAGCCUGCUCCAACCCCUCCUCUGAUGUGGUGUGGUGGGAGGAGGAAGAAGAGCAUGCAUGCUCUCUUUCUACAUCCAGCAUCCACACGGCUAGAUCGACGGGUCUAAACUAUGGGUGAGCUCCUCCACUACCUGAUAAAUUCCUUUUCUGCUCUAUCUUUUUUCCUUCCAAUUCAUGUAAAUUGAAACUUUGAAAUCAACCAGUAUCUAAUGCCUAUAAUCCAUGGAAAUAAGUGGUCUUCAAAUGUGAAACUCAAGCCGGCAAUUGGAUACCAAUUUGCCUACUUAUUUAUACCUUCAAAUAUUGGUCAAAGACUAAUUAAGUCACUGUUUCUUAAUUUCUCUAUUCCUUAUUUAUACCUCCAAACAGUACAGAAUGUGAGGAGUUGACCUAUAAAUGUUUGCUUAUGAUUAAUGGAUCACCAAAAAUAUGGAGGAUUUAUUUAUUUGCAUUUUCAUGUUUCUCCAACUGUAUGUACCAUUGCGGAGAAGAGGCAAAGUAAUAGACAUUUUAAUUCUGAUUUAUAUAGAUAAUUGGUUAAUUUGUGGGUACCAUUCUAUCUCAGAUGUAGUACAUUGUGUGUAUGAAUCAUGGUGAAUGUCAAGCCUACUUAGGUCAUACCCAAGUAAGGUCAGUAUAGAUGUAUAGUGCUUAUAAAAUGUGGUGCUCUAAUAUAACUUUGUUCCUCAGUUAGGAAUUAUGUUUUUCUAUAGUUAAAAAUGCAUGUGUGUUGCUGUGAUGUAUAUAAGUGACAGGGAACAAAAAAGAAUGGAAGAAGGCCCUUUUGUUUCUGUUUGAUAAUUACUCAUCCAUCCUGAUGCUUGAGCAUUUUCUAUCCUCCCCUGUUUUAUUCUUUUGGUGCUACUUGGAUGUUUCUAAGGUCUGUUUUUUUGUUUUAUUUCAGAAUACAGAAAGAAUAAGUUACUAGCAUUGUGCAAGUAAACCUACUGCGAUUGUGACUGCAAAAAAAAAUCAUCACAUGCUGUGAGCUUAAAUAAAAGGAGCUAAACUGUUGUGUCAUGUUCAGAAUUGAUACUAGAAAAAAUAAUCUAAACUGCACAUUCUGAAACUAUCUAGACUCCUGCCUUUGGGGAAUUAGGUUGCUAAGCAUUACUUUGUAAAUAAAUGACAUGCUAACUUGUUGGUUCAGUUUAGAGCUAUUGGCAGGGGCUUGCUGUAGGGGGGAUAUCAUUGUGGCAGUUGAAAACCAAAGCCUUUAUUCAUGAGUGUAUGAUCUGGACUUCACUUUUCUGAAAGGAUCCGCGGCACAGUAGGAGAGGUGACGCCGGCCGGCAGCGCCUCACCGCCAGCUAUUGUUUGGCGCCGGCAAGGAGAAGGGCGCUUAGGAUCUGCUUCGCUGUGCAUGGCUGUUGAAGUUCAGCAUCGCCAUGAUGUGUAUGGUUUCUCUAUUUUCCUCAUAUUGCCCUAUUCCCAAUUUUACAAACUGCUAUGUGACGCACAAUGGCCACGCCACGCACUGGUGAGAUUCAAGGUGCAGUCGAGCAAGAGUCAGUUCGAGGUGAGGUGUCUCACGUCGAUCUCCUGCUGCUCACCAGCAAGGCUCGCUGACGAGCGGCCAGAUCCACACGAGUUUCACUGUUUAUGGAGGUGACAAUGCUAGAUAUAUACAUCUGUAUCAUGGCACUUCUCCAGCAAACAAAAGCUUGGUAGCCAUCUACUUUCAGAGAGUUUGAAAACGUACUAUCACGCUAACUCACUUAUCCAGAUUAAUGGUAAGUGUGUGUUUUCUUGUAUACCAAUCUACAGAACUACAAUUGAGAUCUCUACCUCCUAUAUUUCCCUUUUGUCAUUUUUUCUGGCUUUUAUGCUACUACUCAAAAUGUUUGACUAUUCAAUUAUAAACGUCAUGCAGCAGUGCUUACUUUCUUACUCCCUUUAGACAUGAUUUCCCUGUCCAAACAUUCAGCUGAACCGACACUAGCAAUAUUGAUCAGCUGAACUUGCAGAAGGGGAGAGGUACUAAAGGAACAUCUUACGUAUUUUUGGUCUCAUAUUCUUUGAGUACAUAACUAUCCAUUUAUUAAAAACUAUAUUUGAUGGACAAAUUGAACAGCACAAUUUAAGGAUGAUAAAAAUAAUAAUUUUAACAAGUGGAAGUAAUGUAUGGUACCGUGUAAAAAUGAAAGGUAUAGUUUUCCCACUCCUCCAAGAUGAGUUCAGUGCCUGUGUUUAAACCAUGGAUGUAGAGAUGGUCAGGUCAAAUGAAAUGUAUGAAUACUACUACAAUUGUUGAACAUUUGAUGAAAUCAGAAGUUAAGUAGAUUACAUAUAUGUAAGUUAGUCUUGUGGCUGAUGCUUUCACCAUGAUAAAUACAACCCCGAACGCAUAUGCCAACCAAUGUUUAAGCGACUCAAAGACUAUAACUAAUGCUAAAUAUCGAUGCCUGCUACUUAGGGGCACUAUCUGGCAUGGUUCAAAAGAGAGGUAAUUGUACCUGAAGCAGUGGACACAACCAUUCCUUGCAUUUGUAAGAGUUGUGCAGUAGUAUAAUAACCGUCUUUCUUUGAGGAGCAGUGUCGUUAAGUUUCAGUAGAAGUACAGGUACACGUUCCUGUUCAGCUGACUAAUGAAAAAAAGUGAUAACAGAUUCUGUUAUUCAGGGAGCAAGAGCCAAAAUUUCUUCAACUAGCUUCUCCUAAGUUGCCCACCUCUUUCCUCCGGCAUGACUCAAUGGCUUGGAAAGAGCAGCAGAAUCAACACAAUCACCUUGAUCUGGAAGGUGGAAUUUGUUUGCUCAGAUCGAAGGAGGAUCCUGGCCUCUCCGAGCCCCGGAGGCCCGUUGCCUUGGUAAAAUAGCUCCUUUACCAGACUCCCUUGCUCCAUGGCCAGAGGCACCGGGACUGCGUGACGACGAGCAGAUUCGAAGCAAGCCAUUAUUCAACUCGGGAUGCAAACUCGCGGCGCGAGGGAGAGAAAGUGAGGGGGAUGUGGUUGGCUGACCUCGGUGUUUCCGGCGGACCUACUGGUACUUCGACCAGAUGUAUCCAGCGGCAGCAGUUGGGGCUCCGGUGGAGUCGGGGCGGCGGCAGGUGACUAGACCGCGCGUGGUGGAGAACUGGAGGAGAGGGAACCGAGCCCCACACUCACGAGCCGUUUCUUGGAGCGACUGCUCACAUGCGGCACGCGGCCGGCAGCCGGCAGCGGAGGUACACGCGUGGCUGAAGCGCUAUGGGGGCCACAAGGCAGGCGGUUCCUUUUUUAUUGAUUUGUCAUGCGUGCAUGCCUUCCUGAUUGCUUGUUGUUGCCGACACAUUAAGUGAUCACAUGUCUGUAAUCCAUUGUCGUUCUUUCUGAGAGACAGUGGGAAUACAAAUACUGAGAUUUGCUUCCCAUUUUCCUUUAA